CUUGACUACAUCAAGAUCCCAGACAGACAAACUUGCCUUUGAUGUAGGUCUACGGGAACAUGCCACAGGGAAAAUGAAAAUGACAGACAUAGUCAAGAGC
RNAcentral lists this small RNA (100 nucleotides) under Pan troglodytes (chimpanzee). RNAcentral describes it as "processed transcript". The record is from RNAcentral. RNAcentral also lists the same sequence under 1 other name. Lineage: Eukaryota; Metazoa; Chordata; Mammalia; Primates; Hominidae.